Molecule: long non-coding RNA, 3190 nt
Organism: Paramisgurnus dabryanus
Lineage: Eukaryota; Metazoa; Chordata; Actinopteri; Cypriniformes; Cobitidae
Source: RefSeq, a predicted model, not a curated record
UGAUUAUUCAACCGGAGACGCGCGUUGGGGAUUUUCUCCUCAGACAAGUGUUUCUGUUUUGUGGUCGAUUCUGGGAUCCUUUUCUUGGUGUGUCUUGAUGUUUUCUAUUGGCUAAAGACAUGUCUCUGUGAAACUGACAAUCUCAGGUAGGAGCUGCUGGUUUGUGGUUGGCAGUAUGGAUCACAGUCUGCGACUCAUGAGGAGCUGGGCUGGAGACAUGAAGAGGUUGUCAACAGGCCAUCCAUCCAAGAUCAUCUAUCUGAGCUGCUGAAAACUGCCUCGGUACGGAUCUGUUGGAGCUUUGUGUCACUGACUGUAUUUCUGCAAAUUAAUGUUCCAUGUCACAUGGCUUAUGCAAGACUGAAUCCAUAAAGGGGAUGGUUUGUGGAGACUGUGGGCGAUUCCUUCUGCUGUCAUUAAACAUGAGCAGGAGUAAUGACGGGAUUUAAAUGGACGCAGCUAAUAUUAUGCCAGAGUCCGCUGCUUAUGCUGUAACCAUAAAGCAACCAGGACAACACACCUGGAGUGACCGAGAGCAGGAUGAAGAAAGAAUCGGACGAGAAAAUAUCAACUGGUGCCCAUGAGGAGAUAUUGUUCUUGGACCUGCUUUUUCUGUUUAGUAAUAUGUGGUUUUAUGUGGUUACAUAAAAGUAAUUUAAUAUUCAAUCCACAAGCUAAAUUUCCUACAUUUUCUUAAAAGGGUAGUUGACCCAAAAAGGAAAAUUCUGUCAUUUACACAAACAGUUUGGUUACAAACAUUUCUCACAAUAUCUGCCUUCCUGUUUAUCAGAACAAAGAAAUUUAUGCGGGUUUGUAACAACAUGAGAGUGUGUAAAUGAUGUCAUAAGUUUCAUUUUUGGGUGAAGUACCCCUUUAACAUUUUUAUACACAGGGGUAGGGGUGUGCAGCGGAGUCAGUAUUUGUAUCUGUAACAGUCUCAAAAUUAUUUGUAUCUGUAUUUGUAUUUGGAUUAAACCGGAAGUGGGUGGGUUGACAACUCAUAUUACAUUAAAAUGGCAUUUUAAAUGCAUUUUUGCUUUUUAUUAUUAUUAUAACUUAAAUAACUGUAAAUAUUUAUUCAAAAUAAUAAUACAAAAUUUUAAUCAAAAAGACAAAUAACUUGAUUCUCGUUAGUAAUACUCAUGGAAAGCAAACAACUCAUUUUAAAGCCUCAUACAGCUUGUGCUAUGCAUCAUUGUACUGUAGCAUUAAAAUAACAAACUUGAAAGCACUGUAGGCUAGAUCACCUUUAAAUGUUUAUUGUGCCUGUCAGCACAGUUCCAUGAGACCCAUUCUUUCUAAAUGAGUGCGAUGUUUUCAGAAAAAAAUAAGUAGCCUACAUUAAUCCCUAGUCUAGCGAUUUAAAUAUAGUAAUUAAACAUCUAAAAUGAUCGUUAUUUGUAAGUUUUCUAAAAGAGUGAAAUAUAACCUAAUACUACUCAUAUCCAUGUCUGACAUCUUGGUUUCAGUUUAAAAACAUGCAGGAAUUUGAAAAUAAAAUGCAGGACUUGCUUGAUGCUUAAAGAGUUAUUAAGGGAGAUAAAGUUCGGGAACUGAUUUAUGUUAAAAAGUUGUUAAGAUCGACAAACUCGCGCUGACUGACAGAUCCGAAAUGCAACGCAGGGACACGCAAGUGGCGCAGUAUAUGCACAGAAUAGUUCAAAAACAUCUGUUAUGAUAAGAAUUUACGAAAGCAUAAUAAGCAUUAGAACAAACUUGCUGAGCUCAUUUUUAUCUAUGUCCAUAUAGCGUUUGCGCGAAUAUAACGAAUUGUUUAAAAAAAAACUUUCUUAUUAAUCUUCAUCUAAAUAAAUAUAUAAUCAGAUAGUUGUUUAAAUUUUUAAAUAACAGUAUGCUCUAUUAAAAAUCAGUUUUGACUUAGUUCAAAACCAGCAACAUGAUUUAAAACAACAAUGUAAUUAGAAAUAUUUAAUUCAAAUGUUUCAGUUGUUAUUUGCUUACUUUAAUUUUUAUUGCAAUUCAUGUCAUAGUAUUCUUCAGUUUAAAUUUUGCUUUUAAAAUGUUACAUUUUCAUAUUUUUAUCUAUUUACUUAUUUAUUUUAUAUUCGCCUAGAUUGACAAUAAAGCUUGCUUCGACUAGAAGUAAUUAAAAUAUCAUCUACCGGUGCCACAGAGAUACAGAGUUAUUAACGAAUAUUUUAUUAUCAGAGUGCAGCAUUUUAUCAAGGUUUUCUGUCCUAAUUAAAUAAAACGGAAUUUUUUUUACAGUUGGGUUAAAAGAAGUUUGAUAUUAGCAGCGUUUUUAAGAUUUUAAACUAAUUCCAAAACAGCUCGCGUUUCUAAAUAAGGGUUGCGCCGAAAAUGUCAUUUUAUAGAUUGCACUCAUUCACUUCACACACAUAUUAUUCUUGCUUUAAGGUGUUUAUAAUUUAGAGCUGUUCCAGUAAACAUGUGAUUAUGUCUGGCCGAAUAUUUUCUAUGUUAUUCGGAUGAAUUCGUUGUUCGUUUUGAAGCUAUUAUCCGUGCCCUUCCGAAUAACGUAUUCGGCUUCGGUCACAUCCCUACCCAGGGGUAAAAGAAAUGUAUGUUAAACAUUUUUAGUUUGUCUUUUUUGUUACUGCUACUUUCAACAAGACUAAUUAUUCAGCCAAGUUUAUUUUGUACUUUAAGAAAUGAACAGCUUUUAUGGGUUUUAAGACACAGAUAUGUGCUCACAGUUUGCCCAUAGAAUGCCCAGUGGUCCCACAAUUUUCCCGCAGUAUGCCCACAUUUUUCCCACGUAUUUGUAUUUAAAUAAAUUUUUCCACACAGUAUUUUGUAUUUGUGAUAUCUGAAUUUGUGAUAGUAAUUUGAAUUUUAAAACAAUUCCAUGUAUGUAUGGCUAUCUCAGAUCAUAUGCAUGUGAAAGGCAGUUUCUGGUAUAAAUAGCAGAACACAAAAGGCUUUCUGUGUCAGAAAUGCAGUCAAAAAGUGGGACAACAAGGAUAACUGAUCAUGAAGGUAAGAAUCUUAACCAUGCAAGGUGAGGGAUAUAUUAUGGCUGAAAAAACAAUAAACCAAUUAAUGAAAUAUUCAUGUCAUAUGUGUGUUUGACAUAUAAAUUCGUAUUACCUUUUUGUUAGCUGUCCUAUUUUGAGAUAAUUAUUAGCCUAAUAAUAAUAAUAGUAUAAUUAAUAUUAUAUAAUACAUUCUUGAAACGAGGUUAAACCCUUGGAAAGACAUAGGAAAU